This 253-nucleotide ribosomal RNA is filed under the name uncultured bacterium. RNAcentral's name for it is "partial 16S ribosomal RNA". It matches the Rfam family "Bacterial small subunit ribosomal RNA", at positions 524 to 776 of the family's 1533-position model. The record is from RNAcentral.
UACGUAGGGUGCGAGCGUUGUCCGGAAUUAUUGGGCGUAAAGGGCUCGUAGGCGGUUUGUCACGUCGGGAGUGAAAACUCGGGGCUUAACUCCGAGCCUGCUUCCGAUACGGGCUGACUAGAGGUAUGCAGGGGAGAACGGAAUUCCUGGUGUAGCGGUGAAAUGCGCAGAUAUCAGGAGGAACACCGGUGGCGAAGGCGGUUCUCUGGGCAUUACCUGACGCUGAGACGCAAAAGCGUGGGGAGCAAACAGG